AGAGAGAGACAUGCGCGCAUAUCAAUAAGCGGAGGAAAAGAAACUAACAUAGGAUUCCCUCAGUAACGGCGAGUGAAGCGGGAAGAGCUCAAAUUUGAAAUCUUCAAGGUUCUACCUUGACGAAUUGUAGUUUAAAGAAGUGUUUUCUGUUGAAGUUUUGGUAAAAGUUCUUUGGAAUAGGACAUCAUAGAGGGUGAGAAUCCCGUAUUUGACCAUUACUUUCAGCGUUGUGAUACACUUUCAAAGAGUCGGAUUGUUUGGGAAUGCAGUCCAAAAUGGGUGGUAAAUUUCAUCUAAAGCUAAAUAUUGGCGAGAGACCGAUAGCGAACAAGUACCGUGAGGGAAAGAUGAAAAGAACUUUGAAAAGAGAGUUAAACAGUACGUGAAAUUGUCAAAAGGGAAGCGUUUGACACCAGUGUUGUUUUUCUGAAAAUCAAUUAAAAAGGAACUGAUUUAUGCUAGUUGUAUUAGACUUUAUCAGCUACUGCACUUUAGUUUUGAUCUUUUCUUUAAUGCACUUUUCAGUUAACAAGUCAACAUCAAUUUCUUUUGCUGUAAAAAGGGCAUUGAGGAAGGUGGCUUGAUAUUCGGCUUAAAGUGUUUAUAGCCUCUUGGCCUAUGCAAUCGGAGAGAUUGAGGUCUGCAGCGUAGAUCCUUCGGGGCUAGAUACAGUUAGAUGCUAAGUUAUAGCUUUUUAUAGACAACUUGUUGACUAUAAUUUAAUCAUUGUAGCUUACUCGCUUAUGGUUAUUUUACCUACGCUUAGGAUGUUGAACGCUUAGGAUGUUGAAGUCAUCGUAUCGCGCAUGCUCGAUCUAUACAUGACUCUGUGCAUAUCAAUAAGCGGAGGAAAAGUGGGCUAUUACCUACGCUUAGGAUGUUGACUGCAUAUCAAUAAGCGGAGGAAAAGGCGGCGGAGAGUAUUGGUGUGGGAGUACCUACGCUUAGGAUGUUGAAGUCAUCGUAUCGCGC
Molecule: ribosomal RNA, 972 nt
Filed under: uncultured Neocallimastigales
Lineage: Eukaryota; Fungi; Neocallimastigomycota; Neocallimastigomycetes; Neocallimastigales
Description: partial large subunit ribosomal RNA
Rfam family: Eukaryotic large subunit ribosomal RNA
Source: RNAcentral